AUGCAUGUCUAAGUAUAAGCAAUUAUACAGCGAAACUGCGAAUGGCUCAUUAUAUAAGUUAUCGUUUAUUUGAUAGUACCUUACUACUUGGAUAACCGUGGUAAUUCUAGAGCUAAUACAUGCUAAAAAUCCCGACUUCGGAAGGGAUGUAUUUAUUAGAUUAAAAACCAAUGCCCUUUGGGCUCCUUGGUGAUUCAUAAUAACUUUUCGAAUCGCAUGGCCUUGCGCCGGCGAUGGUUCAUUCAAAUUUCUUCCCUAUCAACUUUCGAUGUUUGGGUAUUGGCCAAACAUGGUCGCAACGGGUAACGGAGGGUUAGGGCUCGACCCCGGAGAAGGAGCCUGAGAAACGGCUACUACAUCCAAGGAAGGCAGCAGGCGCGCAAAUUACCCAAUCCCGAUUCGGGGAGGUAGUGACAAUAAAUACUGAUACAGGGCUCUUUUGGGUCUUGUAAUUGGAAUGAGUACAAUUUAAAUCCCUUAACGAGGAACAAUNGGAGGGCAAGUCUGGUGCCAGCAGCCGCGGUAAUUCCAGCUCCAAUAGCGUAUAUUAAAGUUGUUGUGGUUAAAAAGCUCGUAAUUGAACCUUGGGCCUGGCUGGCCGGUCCGCCUCACCGCGUGUACUGGUCCGGCCGGGCCUUUCCCUCUGUGGAACCUCAUGCCCUUCACUGGGUGUGGCGGGGAAACAGGACUUUUACUUUGAAAAAAUUAGAGUGCUCCAGGCAGGCCUAUGCUCGAAUACAUUAGCAUGGAAUAAUAAAAUAGGACGUGUGGUUCUAUUUUGUUGGUUUCUAGGACCGCCGUAAUGAUUAAUAGGGACAGUCGGGGGCAUCAGUAUUCAAUUGUCAGAGGUGAAAUUCUUGGAUUUAUUGAAGACUAACUACUGCGAAAGCAUUUGCCAAGGAUGUUUUCAUUAAUCAGGAACGAAAGUUAGGGGAUCGAAGACGAUCAGAUACCGUCGUAGUCUUAACCAUAAACUAUG
This 979-nucleotide ribosomal RNA is filed under the name Paracorniculantispora psalliotae. Its description in RNAcentral is "SSU rRNA". It matches the Rfam family "Eukaryotic small subunit ribosomal RNA", at positions 51 to 1041 of the family's 1831-position model. The record is from RNAcentral. Lineage: Eukaryota; Fungi; Ascomycota; Sordariomycetes; Hypocreales; Cordycipitaceae.